GACGAUCCAUCCCAGAGGCUAGAAUUCUGGUUGCAAACCCACCAUCAACGUUCGAUUUUCUUUCCCCCACUAUUGUAGUGAUUUCUUUCAUCACAUCUAAGGGUCCAAUAACUCACUACAGGUAUGAUUUGGUGUAGUAAGAUGCAAAUGAAACAAUUGAAAAUAGAAUGCCUACUUUAAAAUUUUGAAAUUUUGAAAUGAAGUUUAAAAAUUUGUUGAUUUUUGUGGUAUUUACCCCUGGAUUGACAUGAAGGAACUGUAAACAUUUUGUAUUUUUAAUGAUCCAUCAUUUCCCUCAUUUAUUGGAUAUUAAACACCAUCUCAUAACCGUCCAUUUUUCCUAACCGUUUAUAUUUCGUAAUUCCUUUGAUGGGAAGGAGUUUAUAAAGGGAAGUAGUGGUAUUGGUCCCCGAGUCGAGACUUUCAUGAAAUUGUACUAUCGCAGAGACUUCUUGAAGACUUGGAAGCACCAAACACAAUCUGAAAUUUGGUAUUUUGAAGAUCAAUGGCUAGAGGUUAGUUUCUGUUAUUUAUUUUCUGCAUUUGAUCUAUAUGUUGCUUGUUUAUCCACACAUGAUAGAUCAAAAUAAAGUCUAACAGUUGGUAUCAGAGUCAUAUUUGCCUCUGCCUUGCUCGCUAAGUUCUCUGCAAUUUUUCUAGAAAUUUUCAAUAAUUUUUCCAGAGAUUUCAAAAUCUUAUUUCAUAGUUCUUGAUGGAAAUAAGGAUAGGAAUCAUUAGGAAAUUAGAUUUCUAACAUUUUUGGGAUUUGAAACGUAAUUUUUGGUGUCCGGAAGAUAGAGAAACCGUCAGGUUUUUCAUUGGGUUGAAACCAGGUCAAAAUGACCCAGUUGACGACAAACUGUAGAAAGUAAUAAUUAAAAAAAAACAAAAGGCUUUUUCCUUGAACUCACGGGCCUACUUAUGUGAAAUAAGGCUACUGUUGUACUGUUAAGUUUGGCAAAGAUCAAUUCUGCCAAUUUGUUACUGCACGUGAUUACCAAAUAGUGAGUUGGUAAAAAAUGGUGCAGAUUUCUAGGUCAUUUUCAUAACAAUUUGGUUAUGUUAUCAUUUUGGAAUAUUUUAAUAACAUUUUUGACUAUUGAACAUUGACACGGCCGGAAUUUUUGAGUUCUUAUAUCACUGUGGACCCAUGUGCUGGAAGUUAAUGGGAAUUGUUUAUUGACUUUGUUUUUGUGUGCUAAAGCUAUUUAAUUUUAUUAUUUUGUAUAUAUAAUUUUCUUGUUUUGUUAUACAUGCAAUAUUGAGAUAAAUAAUUUAGUACAUAAAAAUUUUAAUUUUAGUGCCCAUAUUGCUUUUGGGUUUGUGCAAUUUAUACGAGCACAUUUUGUGAAUUAUAUUUAUAAUGUAGAGUGAUCCAUAUAAUUUUAAUUAAUUAGGGAGUAGUCACAGCAUCAUUAAUUAUGUAAAAUUAUAUAUUAAAGUAUAGAAUCACAUAUUUGGGUAAAGACAUUAAUUAUGGUUGAUCAUAUUUAAUAUAGUUAAUUUUAUCCCACAGAAAUUUUUAUUUUUAUGAUCAACUACUAUAAAAUAUUAAAUUACUUUCCUAAUUACCCACAAGAAUUGGGAAUUGAAACAUGGUUUAAUAGUUUUAUCAUAAAGUUUGUAUAUUAAUCUAAUUGAGUAAGACUUUAGCUCACAGGCAAUUUCUAUGUCACUAGAUUCAUAUUUUGAAGCAUAAUUUUACAUUGGUAAAAUGUAAUUUGAUAGUUUUAUCAUAAAGUUUAUACAUGGAUCUAAUUGAGUAGGACUUUAGCCCACAAACAAGUUCUAUAUCACUAGAUUCAUAUUUUGAAGCAUGAUUUUGCUCGUUAAAAUGUGAUUUGAUAAUUCUAUCAUAAGGUAUAAUUGAAUAUACUUGAAUUAAAAAUUUAACCCUUAGGCAAUUUUUAUGUCAUUAUAUUCAAUUUUAGCAUGACUCACAUUGGUAAAACAAGCAAUCUACUCAAUAAAAAGAAUGAAUUUUAAGACAAGCAUUAUGCAGCUUCACAAUCUGCGAAUUUCUCUGAUAUUAAAUGUGAUGUUCCCGAACUAAAGGGUGAAAACUAUAAAGUCUGGAAGGAGAGAAUUCUCUUUCAUUUGGGAUAGAUGGACAUUGACUAUGUCAUCAGGAAAGACGAACAAAAAAAAUAACUCUGACCAGCACUUCAGAUGAAAUUGCUCUUUAUGAACGAUGGAAGCGAUCCAAUCACCUUAGUGUGAUAUUCAUAAAGAACAAGAUUUCUGCUGGUAUUCGUGGUUCUGUCGAAGAGCAUAAAAAUGUUAAGGCAUUGCUGAAAGCUAUUGAUGAGCAAUUUGAGACUUAAGAUAAAGCACUUGCCAACACUUUGAUUGUGAAGUUUUCAUCCAUGAGGAUCACUACUCAGAGAGGUGUGCAUGAGCACAUCAUGCAAAUGAGGGACAUUGCGGCUCAAUUGAAGACUCUUGAGGUUGAUAUGUCUGAGUCUUUCCUUGUGCAAUAUAUAUUUUAAACACCCUUCUACAUCAAUGUGGACUCUUCAAGAUAUCCUAUAACACACAUAUGGAUAAAUGGUCAAUUAAUGAACUUCUUACCACGUGUGUUCAGGAAGAAGGGAGAUUAACAAAUGGAAACGGGUGAAAGUGCAUUGAUGGAAAUGCAAGGAAAUGACGAAAAACAAGCCAAAAGAAAAGAGAAAGGAAAAAUACCUCCCCAAAGUAGAAUACAAAAAAGGAAUCCAAGUGUUUUUUCUUUAAAAAGAAGUGACACAUAAAGAAGGAUUACAUGAAGUUCCAAAAAUGUCUUGAGAAGAAAUGUAAAUCAAUCUCACUUAUCUGUUAUAGCGACCGAAAAAAAAUAAUAAAAAUAAAUCUUGUGCCUCGUUUUAAAAGAAAAAUUCCUUGUAAAACCCAAAAAUGGUUUGAGUUAUAUUAUUGCGUUGCUACGACCCUUCCUAAGAAUUUAACUAAAGUUUUGGUCACGAUAGUAAAAUUAUGUGCACUUGUUUUAAACUUUUUAUGAGGUGUCGAAAUCUCUUUUAAACGAUAAAUAUUUAUUUUGACGACACUUCUUAAUAGUCCAAGUUAAAGUUUUGCUCACUAUAGUAAUGUUGGCUCACUUGUCUAAAGAUUUUCGUAAGACAUCGAACUCAAAUUUAAACCCCAAAUUUCCUAUUUUGAGCUAGCCGUGCCGAGUUAUUCUAAUAAAAUUAAAGUGUUAUCUUUGUGUGUGUGUGUGUGUGUGUGUGUUUGUGUAUACACACAUAAUGACUUUCUAGGAAUAUGUACGGUAAUGGUGGGAAGGAAAGGAAUAUGUUUAAUAUAAUUCAUAAAACCUAAUGAUCCUCAUUAAUCUUGAUGAUAAAUGAAAUUAUUAACAUUAUCAAUUCACUUUUAACCCGCAAGGCAUUUUUGAAAUGAAUGUUAUGUGUAUAAUGACUAUUUGGGUUUGCAUAUAUUUAGGUGCCAUAACCUAACCAUCCCCUAUCAUGUAAAAACCAAUUAUGUUAGUUAUAAAAAAAGAAAAACAAAGAAAAGAAACUGAUGCCUUUUCAUUUGAAUAUAGCCUACACGUUUUUAACCCCAUUUUAUACCCCUAAUUAACAUCCCACUUAACCUUUUGCUUUUACUCACUUUUUGGUUACUUGCCAUCACCCUUUUUGCAUUUGAAAAACAAUCCCUAUAUCUUCUAUAACCUCUAAAUUCUCUCCCUAUUAUACUUAUACAUAAAAUCAUUUUACUCUUUUUCCCAUAGACUAAAUUUGAAAAUUUUCUAAGAAGAGGCAAAGAGUACGCUGAAUUUUAUAACUUAUUGAACGUAAAAAGGAUAUUUAAACUCCAAGCUAAGGUAGGGGUGUUCUUGGCACUUUUGUAAGUGGUAUAAGAAUUAUUUGUUUUCGUUUUGCAUCAAACGUAUGAUUGUGUCACUCAUGAAGGAGACAUCAUUUGGUGGCUCAACUAAGAGAAAGAGAUUGAAGGUGACACUAUUAUUGUCUUGCUCAUGAAGGAGGCAUCGUUUGGUGGCUCAAAUAAGAGAAAUAGAUUGAAGGUGACACUAUUAUUGUGUUACUCAUGAAGGAGACACCGUUUGGUGGUCCAAAUAAGAGAAAGAAAUUGACGGAGACAUGAAUAAAUCAAAGUUUGCAUUUCUGAAAACAUAUAUGCAUUUUAUCAUUUACUCUAGUGUCUUCUUACUGAGUAUUAUUUGUAAUACUCACACCCACUAUAAUCUCACAGGUUGAUUUGAGGCAUGGCGACGGUUUGACAUAGUGUCAAGUGCUCGGCUAUCUGAAAAACUUUCAACUUUCUAGUAAAAUUUCCAAUUUAUGUAAACGCAUUAUGAAUAAUUAGAUGACAAUUUUAAAAAAUUUUAAACAUCUGUUUCGUUCAGUUUUAUAUGCUAUUCAUGUCAACCAUAAUUUGGAAACUUUGGAAUGACUAUGAUCAAAGUUUAUUUCCUGCUGAUUACAAUUUCAGACUCUAUCUUCCAUUUGAAAAUAGUAUAAUUUGGGCUACGUUGCAUAUUUUUGAGUGAAAUCAGUGGCAUUUGAAAGGUCUAUGAGUCUUCUAAUAGUGGCUUUUGUAAUUUCUCAAAAAUAUUAUAUGAAAAAAAGCUAUGCCUGUUUUAGUAAAACUGCAUCGUGUCGAAUCCGUUUUUCUGUUUAGCAUAUUCGAGCAAUAUUUUCUUGCUUCAAACAUUAUCUUCGAGACCCCAAAUUUUUAUAUGUAGUACAUAUAUGAAUGCCUUAGUUUCUUUUAAAAUUUCAUAAUUUUUAGUCAUUGUUUACUAGACCAAACAUAUUUUUUCUUUCCACUGCUGCGUAAACCGUGUUUGCUGUAUUUUUCCCAAAUAUUUUCCAGAAAUCAAAUUUUGCCAUAAUUGUCUAAGUUUACGUGGACAAAUGACUUAUUGUUUUCCAUAUGUUUCAAAAUCAAAAAACUUUCUAAUUUACAAAUUAUUUUGGUUAACAUCAAAUGGGCCGAACCAAAGAAAGAACGAUUAUUUUUAAAGUUUCGGGUUCUGAGAGUUCGGGGCAUCACAUCUGUUAUGAAUUUAAUUUGGUUGAUUUUAUUUCUAACACAUGGUGGAUUGAUUCCGGUUCUACGAUCUAUAUUUCGAAUACCUUACAGGGUAUGCGAAACCUAAUGAAACCAGUAGAAGUUGAGCAAUGCAUUUAUUCAGGAAACAAGAUGCGCUCACAUGUGGAGGCUGUUGUAACAUGCAGCUUAAUCUUAAUCAGUGAUUUUAUUUUGAAUUUAAAAAAGACAUUUUAUAUUCCAAGUUCCUCUACGAACUUGAUUUCAGUUUCAAGACUUGUAUCUUUAGGUUAUUCCUUUAAUUUCUCAAAAAAAAAAAAAAGAUCUUUCAAUUUAUUUUAUAAAUAUGAUCUUAUUGGGAAUUGUACAUCGUCUGAUGGCCUUUUCUCCAUUAAUCCGCAAAAUAAUACUACUCACAAUGCUAUGCAUGUUCACACUGGUAUGAAACGAUGUGUUAUGAAUAAGAACUCAUCUAUGAAGUGGUACCAGAGAUUAGGACAUAUCUCCAUAGAAUGAGUUAAGAAAUUAGUAGAUAAUGGAGUUAGUACUUUGGAUUUUACUAAUUUCGACACUUGUAUGGACUACGUUAAGGGAAAACAGACCAACAAGUCCAAGGAAGGUGCUAAGAGGAGUACAUACAUAUUAGAGAUCAUACAUUCAGAUAUUUGUAGUCCAGAUAUGGACUCGUAUGGUUCAAAAUACUUCAUCUCCUUCAUUGAUGAUUAUUCAUGAUACAUGUAUAUCUACUUACUUCACAAUAAGAACGAAGCACUAAGUACCUUUAAAAUUCUUAAGGCCGAAGUAGAGAAACAAUAUGAAAGACAAAUUAAGAUCGUGAGAACAGAUAGAGAUAGAGAAUAUUAUGGUAGAUACACUGAGGAUGGAUAAGCAUCUGGUCCAUUUGCGAAGUUUUUUCAAGAUUAUGGGAUAGUUGCCCAAUAUAGCAUGCCUGGUUUCCCGAACCAAAAUGGUGUAGCAGAAAGAAGAAACUGAACUAUAAUGGACAUGGUGAGGAGUAUGCGAAGUACUUCCAAACUUUCUAAAUCCCUAUGGACUGAAGCUCUUAAAACGGCAAUGUAUAUAUUAAAUCGAAUUUCAACUAAAGCUGUCCCAAAGAUGCCAUUUGAAUUAUAAAAGGGUUGGAAACUGAGUUUGCAACAUAUAUGCGUUUGGAGAUGUCCGUCUGAAGUAAGAGUUUACAACCCACAAGAAAAGAAACUAGACCCAAGGACCAUUAAUGUAUACUUCAUUGGAUAUGCUGAAAGAUCUAAAGGGUACAGAUUUUUUUGUAUAACUCAUAGCACUAGGAUUGUGGAGUCAAGAAAUGCAAAGUUUUUUGAGAAUGACUUGAUUAGUGGGAGUGAUCGAUUCUAGGACAUUGUUUCUGAUAGAAUGAUAUUGAUGCUCGACUUUCCACUUCAAGUGAUAGAUUGAUUGUCGUUCACAAAACCCCUCAAGUUCAAACAGGUGUUGGACAACCAAUCAUUAAAGUUUCACAAGCUGCUGAUGAUAAUUCAGUAGAUCGAGAUGUUCGAAAAUUGCUUGAAAUUGUUGAACAACAUGAUCCUCAGGAAAAUGAUGAUACAACAUUAAGUAGAUCUACUAGAAUAAGGAAAUUGACAAUACCUAGUGAUUAUAUCUACAAGAAUAGGGCUAUAUGUUGGAGUCGAAAAUGAUCCUAAAACAUUUUCAAAAAAAAAAAAAAAAAAUUGGAUGUGAAAACGACAUUUCUCAAUGGAGAUCUAGAGGAAAAGGUUUACAUGAAACAACCAAAAGGAUUUUCCUCUGGUGGUAGUGAGCAUGUGGUGUGCAAGCUUGAGAAAUCUAUACAUGGAUCUUUUCGUCAGUGGUAUUUGAAAUUUCAUGAUGUUAUCUCUUCAUUUGGAUUUGUAGCUAACAUUAUGGAUCAAUGUAUAUACCAAAAGGUCAGUGGGAGUAAGAUUUAUUUUCUUAGUCUAUAUAUGGAUGACAAUUUACUUGCAACCAAUAAAAGGUUUUGCUAUAUGAGGUGAAACAAUUUCUCUCUAAAAUAUUGAGAUGAAAGAUAUGGGUGAUGCAACUUAUUUUAUUGGUAUUAAGAUCCAAAUUGGCAGAUCAUGAGGUAUUUUAGGCCUGUCUCAAGAGACCUAUAUCAAUAAAGUUUUAGAGGAAUUUUGGAUGAAAGAUUGUUCACCAAAUAUAGCUCCCAUUGUGAAGGGUGAUAGGUUCAAUUUGAACCAAUGCCCGAAAAAUGAUUUGAAGGGGAACAAAUUGAAGAACAUUCCUUAUGUUUCUACUGUCAAAAGCCUAAUGUAUGCUCAAGUCUGCAAAAGAUCUGACAUUGCAUUUGCUAUAGGAAUGUUAGGACGAUAUCAAAGUAAUUCAAGUAUGAACCACUAUAGAGUAAUGAAGAAAGUAAUGAGGUACCUUCAAUGGACCAAAAUUACACGCUUAUGUAUAGACGAAUUGAGUUCGUAUAUUGUUUUGAGGCUACCUCGCAUAGUGUAUGGAUGAAGAGUUUCAGUUAUGGGCUUAGAAUCGUGGAUUCAAUCUCUAAGCCAUUGAAGAUAUAUUGUGUAAUUCAGCUGCAAUCUUUAUGGCUAAGAACAACAAAAUGAUAGUCGAAGCAAGUAUAUCGACACAAAGUAUCUAGCCAUAAGGGAACGUGUUAAAAGAGAAAAUAGUGGUCAUUGAACACGUUAAUACUGAAUUAAUGAUUGUUGAUCCUUUGACAAAAGGUAUGCCACCAUUAAAAUUUAAGGAUUAAGUGGAUAAAAUGGGACUUGAUUCCUGUAUGAAAUUUUCGUUAUAAGAACGAACGAUUAAUUUGAUGAAACUCUAUUUGUGACAUUUUCUCAUAUUUGGUUUUCCUUGUGUACACAUUAAUGUUGAGAAAUAUCAUUGAUGUUUGGACCUAGAAUAAACAUAGGGUUUAUUCAUUAAGUUAUAUGGGUUGAUGUUUAAGAGACAUGAUGCAUUGUGAUACAUGGAAGAUAAUACUUGUAUUUAGAGGACCUAUCGCUAUGAUUCAUGUAUUUUUGUUUCUUGAAAGUGAGAAUUGAUGGAUUUUGGAUAUCAUAUCGAGUGAAAUGUAUGGACCAAGUGGGAGAAUAUAAACGUUUUGUAUUUUUAAUGAUCUAUCAUUUCCUUCAUUUAUUGGAUAUUAAACACCAUCUCAUAACCGUCCAUUUUUUCUAACCGUUUAUAUUUCGUAACUCCUUUGAUAGGAAGGAGUUUAUAAAGGGAUGUAGUGGUAUUGGUCCCCAAGUCGAGACUUUCACGAAAUUGCACCGUCACAGAGAGGUCUUGAAGACUUGGAAGAACCAAACACAAUCUGAAAUUUGGUAUUUUGAAGAUCAAUGGUUGGAGGUUCUGUUAUUUAUUUUCCGCAUUUAAUCUAUAUGUUGCUUGUUUAUCCACACAUGAUAGAUCAAGAUAAAGUCUAACAGAAACCAGUUUUUAGAAAAAGUAUGUUGAAUACCCAUAUGACCUUUACAUUAUGUUUGACAAACCCCUCGACCUUUACAAUAUAUUGUGUAAAUUCUACCCCAAAUGAGAUUGUGUUAUGUAAUACACCCUUGACUUUAAUAUAUGUUGUUGAAUACCCUCUUGACAUUUUCAGUUUUGUGAUGACAGGUGGUGUUUGAGAUAAAACUAGCUGAGCAUUUUAUGUGAUCAAACCGGUACAUUAAGCAGAAGGCUAUAGGUUGCGGGAUGUAUGCAAGGGAAAGUGUGAUGUCCAUGGCUGUCGUAUGCAAGGUAAAAUGUGUUAACAAAAUUUUGUAGUAAAAACUUACACUAGCAAUCACACUUGUGCAGUGGUGUACCGGAAAAAAAGGCUUCCAAGUACAUAGCUUACAAAUAUUUGUCUACAUGGAAGGUUAAUCCUAAUAUGUUUGUGUACUUUUUUUGGAUAAAGUAAAAACGGACAAUUUAGGUGAUGUUUCAAAGUGGCAAUAUUAUCAAAAGGUUGAACCCUAACCUUAAGGGUCUCCCAUCGCCCGGCCGCUGGAGCAUCGUGAGAGAGGUUAAUCGCGGGAUGCGCCCCAGCAGGCCAAGGAACAAGAGCUACUUGUGCACUGGUGCCCACAAAGAGUCCCAAUUCUGUUUCAGGAAUCGAACCCUCACACUAUGGCUACCAGUAAGGCUAAGAAUAUCUCACCCUUGUCCUUUGCACACUAGAAUAUGCCCCGGGGCGUAUUAUCAAACCCAAGACAUAGCAAUGAAAAUAAAAAGGGACAAUGUAAUUGACCAAUAUAAAAUAUUGUUGGAUUAUUACGAGCAUUUGAAGCACACAAAAAUAUUGGUACGACUACCCAGUUGGAGGGUCAGGAUGGAGAGUUUAAAAUAUUGUACAUAUGCUUUAGAGCACUGAAGGAGGGUUUCAUCAGUGGAUGUCGGAUGAAUAGGUUAGAUAGUUGCUUUCUGAAAAGUAAGCAUGGAGGACGGUUGUUGAUAGUAUUUUGUGUGGAUGGAAAUAAUGAGAUAUAUCUUAUAGCAUGUGUCGUUGUGGAGAUUGAGAAUGGUGAGAACUGGAGGUGGUUUUUAGAGUUGUCGAGGGAUAGCAAGGGAAUUAUUAACAAUUACAGCUGGAUUUUCAAUCUGAUAAGCAGAUUGGACUUGUAAAUGCUAUUAAGUCGUUUUUUAAGCAUGCGAAGCAUCAUAUCUGUGUGUGACAUCUAUACAACAAUUACUACUGAUUUUAACAAUACUAGUUGGACUAGGCUUUAAAUGCUAUUUUUUCUUUUAUGGAUUCUAACCAAUUUCGUCUCUAUAUGCAAUGUGGCUAAAGAAGCAUAGGACAUAGUUCAAAUUGCUCAUGAAGGAACUUCCAUUAUGAGCCAUCCAAACUUCAAAUGCUCACAUUAGAGUUUGAACAAUUGUCAAUGAGAGAAGAUGAAUAGUUCAGUGAAUUUUAUGCCACACUCAGUGACCACCAAUUUAGCAUAUACUUUGGGGACAAAAUAUUCAAAUAGCAAAAUAGUAAAAAAGAUCCACAUAUCUUUACCUGAUUGAUUUCACUCCAAAGUAACUUCCAUAGAAGAGAGCAAGGAUAUUGAAACCAUAAAGGUUAAAGAAAUGGUGCAUUCAUUGAUCAUAUAUGAGUUGCAAUUCCAUAGAAGAAAAGGAAUUUGGAGUUGCCUUCAAAACCAAAAAUGUUGAAAAAGAUGUUGAGGAUGAGGAAAGUGAAACUGAUGAACACACGGCCUUGCUCACCAAAUAGUUCAAGAAGUUUUUGAAGAACUAUAAAAAAUGAAGGAAUAAAAAAUCUCAACAACUGAAGAAAUAUUCUUUAAUAAUUCAAGGAAAAAUCCACCUACAUCUUUGGAAAGAACUCAAAAUAGUAUGCAAUAUCGUGAGUGUAAAGGAUAUAGAAACAUAGUAUCUAAAUAUGCUAACACAUUGAAAAAGUCCUGUUCAAAGAAAGCCAUAAACAUCUGUUUCGCGCGGGUAGUCGCUAACAAUUAAAAAGGGAUCAGACGAUUGUGUAAGGAACAAACCUCUUGAGACAAAGUCCAAAAAAGGAGUGUUUUAUUUGCAAUGACUUUACAAUUGGAACUAAACAGAAUGCCUCCAAGGGGCGCAAGCACACGAGUACUGAAAAGAAAUGUUUAAGUCUAAACUAAGAAAUUGAAAUUACAUAUUCUCUGUUUGAGAGUGUUUGAUUCGAGGUUUUUUGCUCUAUGUCUUCUCUUCCUUUUAUAUUCCCUUGAUGAUUUCUUCGUAAUUAACCGCUUAGAAACUGCUUGAUUGCUUUAUAACUACCCACUUUCUUUAUGGUGGCUAACUUGUCGUGGAACUGCCGUAUAUAACUGUUGCCACUACUCUUUGUCGUUCUACCGUCUUCAACUAAACUCCUUGAAUCGUGGAACAUGAUAAGGUUACUCGAUAACUGCUUCAAUUACUACACUUCUGGAUAACCAUAACAUCUUAUGUUUGCUAAGAUUCUGGGCGAUUCGAAAGUUUGGGCGAGAACAGGUUCAUAGCUCUGGGCGACUGUAAGGCACUUCAUUCGCUCAGAUCUUGGGCGUCUUGCAAGCUUGGACGAUGAUGUUACUGUGUUCAUGGGCUUCCACUACAUUCAUUAAUAACCCUAUCUGGGCCUUUCUCCUGAAUUGCCCAGUUGGGCUUCAUUCUUUGGGCUAUUUGAUUUGGGGAUUCCUCAAUUGGGCUUCAUUCCCUGAACUAUUCGAUUUGGGCUGCACCUUUAGUGUGUCAACAAUUACCCCCCAAUAUGGCAGAAUUAAUACUAAUUAUUAAUCUUUGCCAUAUUUACUUUGUGUUUUCCAGCAACAUUUGAAAUUCCCAAGAAUUUCAAUCAUUAUUUCCUUCCAUAGCCUGAAAAAGUGCAACGCUACAAACCCUCAUAAACCCCAAAGAGACACCAUUUCAUUGUACCACUAAAUCACGUCUCAUUUCGCGUUUCUUUCUCGCCAUACCAUUGUUCAUCUUCUUGCUUCUCUGCUACGUUUCUCGAGCAAACUUUAACAAAAUUGUAUUUCGUUCCCAAUGGCUGCUCCACAAACCCAAUCUGACGACUCUUGUAGCUUCGACGAUUUUCAGAAAAUCCUCACUCGGCCAUAUGUAAAUUCGAACUUUCUUGCACCAGCCAAUGCCGAACUUAAUGAGUUCUAUCUGGGUCCUUCAUUCACCAAUGCCGAAGUCGUCAAACAAGUGAUGGUGGGCCAGUUGUUUCCUUGUACUCAAGGCCCUCCAUUCCUGAACUCUUUGCCGCUGAGGCCUAUUCGUGAAAAAUGUAUUCGCACUUGGCCUAAAUCUGAUGUUGUUUUUCGUAGAUGGCAUGCUCGCCUUGUGGGCCAUGGUCCUACCAAGGCAAUUUUUGAUCGUGCUAGGAUUUCUGAUUUAUUAGAAAUCUCUUUUCAACCCCCAAUUUUUGACCCAGCACUUUUUCCUAUUGCUUUAAGUUUUUGGUCUUCUGAAUAUAAUACUUUUAUUUUCCCUCUUGGUCCCAUGUCAAACACUUUAAGGGAUGUUGGGGCCCUGAUAAAUCUUCCACCUUUAGGCAACACCAUUUUCCAUGGUAUUUUGAUUUCUAGUGUUGUCCCAAAAUUUGACAAAAAACUCACCGAGUCCUAUUCAAGCUUGCAAAGCUGUCACAAUCACUCAAACGCUGAGCCUUCCCACGCUGAGCGUGUGGCCUUUCUUCAAAUAUGGCUUUGUAAAUAUAUUCUAUCUGUGCCCAGUUUGAAGCCUUCUAUGAGCUAUUUGUCCAUAGCGCACGAAUUGGCGUGUGUAGGCCUUUGAAUUUGUGUUCCUUCUUUUUGGCUGCCCUCUAUAGAGGCAUGACUUCUCUUCAAUUUCAAUUGAAGAAUGGUGCAUCUUUCACUGGCAGUGGGCCUCUUUGGUUCGCUCAACUGUGGUUGAGAGCCUAUUUUCCAUCACUUGGUGCUCUAUCUAUGUCCCUUCAUUCUGCUAGCUGCCAUGGGCUAGCCAUUGACCCAUUGAGCCUUGAAAAAAAAAUAUGUCUAGAAGGGACAUUUUUUCAUUCUUUUAUACUUUAAAUUCAAUUCCUUCCUUCUUUCCUUUUCCUGCUCAUUUAACUCCAGAUUAUGUGCAAUCUCUAUCCACCCUGAACAGUGCGAGUGCCUCUCUGCUCGUUUGGGUUCAGUUUUUGACUGGGAGGGAGUUGUUCUAUGAUAUUUUAACUGGAACCAGUGCCAAAGCUGGGGUUGAAAUAUAUGCUCCCCAAUUUUUUGCUCGCCAACUUGGUUUUGGCUAAACUUGGCCUGUUCCCCCUUGUUAUUCAAAAAAUUUGAUAGACCGCUUUCACACUAUUAAUAAGGUAGAAGCACAAGCUAUAGAUGCUCGCAAUAUUCUUUUGACGAGUAACUUUUCAUUAGCCCCCUUCAAUCAUAGCCGUGAUGUUCACCCCUUUUUGAACAACUCCGGCCAUCAGUGAAGUGCAGAUUGUUUGCAAUUGAUGCCAAUCGUGCUUUCCAUUCACUGGAUCAGCCGAACAUUCCUUCCACUUCUCCUAUUUUGGUCACCCCUGUAUCCAUUAGGAAUCCUUCCUCCCCUGCUCGUGCUAAACAAUCUGUUCGUCCAUCUACUUCUCUAUCUACCAAACAUACUGCAGCUAAGAGCGCCCCAAGCCAUAAACGGUCAGCUUCAGCAUCUCCCAUUUUGGAGGAUGAGGAUGAUGAUGAUGAUGAUGAUGAUGAUACUCCUCUCAUCGUCAGGAGAAAGGUAAUUGAAUUGAAUUCUAUUUACUCACAAGCUUACCUUUCUAUGUGCUAAUGGUUUUCUUGAAUUUCUCAGAAAAGUUCAGCCUCUCCUUUGAAGGCUUUGGUGUUGGUAGCUCCUGCUCCAUCAUCCUCUGCUGGAGCUGCUUCGUCCAAACCAGCUGAUGAAGGGACUACGCUUAAAGAGAAACCUUCAGUCCCGGAACCUUCAUCACAAUCAAUAGACGAGCCACAUUCUUCCCAGGGCACCGACCCCUCCAAACGUCGAACCAGAAGGCAAUACAUUUUUGAUAUUUUACCUUUACUUGUGCUAUUGGUUUCUAAUUUGUUGUUUCUUUAAUCAUACAGAGGCUCCCAUGGGUUUGCCCGCUGUGGCAGAGUCUUCUCGUCCAGAUAAGGGGAAGUCUCCCCUGGUGGUGGGGCCACAGAUGGUGGAGCCAACUGGUGAUAUGCCACCCCCCAAGAUUGCUAAUGAGGUAACCUUUCGCUUCACUUUUAUUUUCACUUUGUUUAUUGCAGUGAAAACCUUCAAUGUUGGCAUUUUUCUUUGUAGGAUGCUGAUGAGAUUGUGCGUUCCAUCUAGGACUUGUUCACUUCCUGGGGGUAAGUCAAGACGUCUCGCUCUGCUUCAACCGGUCAUCCUUCUUCUUCUUCAGAGGAAGAUAUGAAGCUACUCAAGCAGUCGAUAUUUGAGUAUGUAUCUUUUAUGGAUAUGGACAUCGGUCAGGCUAGUACUGCCAAACAUAAGGAUAAACUUGAGCAUUUGAGUGCGAAGUUGGCGCAAGCACUGACACUUCCAUCGCUCAACAUUUCUACUGAUUUUAAAGCGACGUUGAAAGUUGUCCACUCUGACAUCCUCUUUUUGCUGGCCAAAAAUGUUGUACUAAAGGCCAAGAGUACUUAAUAACUUUGCACUGCAUCUGAAAGAGAGUCUUUACUUCGAGAUAUCAACAAAGUUGAGGACGAAUUAAAAGAAAUCUCUUCCGAAGUUAUGAUUGAAGACUCUUUGAGGACCAGUUUGACUAGACAGAUGAAGGAGCUUCAAGCAAGGAUGGAUGACUGCAAGGCGAUAAUGGCUGCUAAAAAGCGUAAUGCUUCCCAAAGAAUUGAGCGAACCAAGUCUUUGGUCGAGCAGCACAAGAAGUUGGAGGUUGAUGAUGAUUUUGUAGCUGAAUUGAAUGUCACUUCUUCUCAGCAGAGCGAGGAUUGGGGGAGACUUAAGGAAAUGAUUCGUUCGGUUUGGGGCGAAUUGUAAUUAAGACAUCUAAUGCUUUAACUUUUCUUUUUGUAAAUUCGUAUUAACUUUCCUCUUGUAACCUCGUACUGAUAGCCAUUGCCAAUUUUGGAUGUAACAGCAGCCAUUGUCAUUAAUGAACAACUGAUUUGUCUUCUUGUGUAUUUAUUGACGUUUGUCCUUAAUCGUCAACCCCCCAAGCAUUUAACUGCUUUAUGAUAAGAUUCAUGUACAUUCUUUUUUGGUAUUUCUAUCUCUUUUCCCAAGACUUUGGGCCCUUUGACUCCAAUUACUAGGCACGAAUGUGACUGUUCAUAUUCUGUCUCUUCACCUUCACGCCCCUAUAAAUGCACGUAUAUUUCGCACUUUUCAUUUUCAUUUCCAUUCUUUUCUUCAAAAACUAAUUUGCUGUCAUUGUUUGGCAUCUCAACUAUCGAUCCAAAAUUUACGUCUUCCAUAGAAAUGGAUCAUUUGAUCCGCCCAUUUUGCCACCUGUUUUGAUGUCACCUUUGGUAUGGGAGAUUUAGGAAAUAUUCUUUGGCCAGCAAAGUUCUUCCCAUUGUCUCCAUGUUCUUUACAAGGAGUUUAGUGAUGGAAGGUAAUUUUUGAGGAUGCCUGUCAAGCCACCUUGCUUGCUGAGAGUGCUUCUCAGUCUCCUUGCCCGUUAUUGCAGCGAUGCAUUUAGGUAAGCGAGGUGAGGGUGCUUCACUUUCCUUCUGCUUGCUGAGAGUGCUUCUCGGCCUCUCUGCUUGCCUUUAUAGCAGUGCGAUCAGGAUGGAAAUCAAGGCCAAUUCACCCUCUUACUUGGCGAUCGACUGGGAGAUUAGUUCGCUCUUAAUUGUAGCUUAUAGAGAAUUUAGUAUUUUGUAUCUUGCAACUUUGUAAUGAAUGUUUGAUAUAAAGGAAUUUAUUUGAACGUAUUUCGCUCUGGCCCCUUUUUUUUUUUUUUAUCUAUGAUCGUUCAACGCGAUUUGAUUACGCUUUUAUUUGUUCACUUUCCCAUAAGGAAGGAACAUAUUUUUUUUAAAUAUUUGCCAUUAAUGAACCUCAUGUGCUUGGUGCCAUCUAAAUCUUCCAAAUGAUAAACUCCAUUAGGCAACACACUAUUUACUUUAUAUAGUCCUUCCCAAUUGAGCGACCACUUGCCAUACUUUGGAUCCUUGCUAUCCAAAGGGAGUAUUGUUUUCCAAACCAAUUCGCCCAGGCUGAACGACUUGGCUAUAACUUUUUUAUUAUAAAACUUAUCUAUCCUUCGUUUUUGAACUUGCAAUCUAUCUAGGACGUCCAACUCCAAUAAGUUUUGAACUAGUGAUUCGGUAUACUCAUCAUCACUUAACUUAUGUUGUAAACACACUCUGAUCGAUUACACAUUGAUUUUCAUAGGCAAAACGGCCUCCUGUCCAUAAGUAAGUUGGAAAGGAGUAAUUAUGGUACUUGACUGAGGCGAUGUCCUAUAAGCCUAUAAGGACUUGUUUAGACAUUCGUGCCAAUUUCUGAUAUUUUCAUCUAUCAUUUUCCUUAUGAUAUUUUUAAGAAUCUUAUUAGAAGAUUCUGCUUGUCCGUUGAAUUGAGCGUAAUAUGGUGUGGAGUUUACUAAUUUAACUCCAAACUCGCUCAAGAAUUUAUUCACUUGAUCUCCAUUUAAAGAAGUUCCGUGAUCUACCAUCAAAGUUUGUGGAAUUCCAAAUCUAUAAAUAAUAUGAUCACAGAUAAAUUCUAUAACACUCUUUUGGGUGAUCUCCUUUAAAGGUAUCGCUUCUACCCACUUAGUGAAAUAAUCAGUUGCAACUAUAACAAAGGUAUGUUGCUUGGACGAUGGGAGAUAAACCUUCCCUAUCAGGUCUAUCACCCAACCCUUAAACGGCCAAUGUUUGCUAAUAGGUGCCGUCUCUCGUGCUGGCGCCCUUUGUAUUGGACCAUUCUUUUGGCAUGCUAGACAACUCUUUGUAUACUGAACUCAUGAUUCUCCGAUCUUUGGCCAAAAAUAUCCCUUCCUAAUACCUAACCAUCUCAUCCUUUGGCCAGUUUGAUGAGCUCCACAUAUCCUUUCGUGCAUUUCAGCCAUGAUCGUCGUGACUUCUUGCAAACUUACAUAUUUUAACAAUAUGCCAUCAGAGCGUUUCUUAAACAACUCUUCAUCUAUCAAUGCAUAGUUUAGCAAACGCAACUUCAUUUUUCUACUAUUUCCUUUAUUAGGUUCUUUAAGAAACCUUUUAAUCUCUGCCCUCCAAUCUAUUGUAUCUCCAUCUUGUAUGCAAUGAAUUUCAAUCGUUCUAGCCCUUCUUUAGACCACGGGCAAUAUUAUUCCAUACUCAUAAAUAGACUUCCAAUUUAAAACUUUCAAGUACCCUGAGGCCGUGUGGGCCAACUCAUUUGCCACGUCAUUAUAUAUCCUAUUAACGCAUUGAAACUCUAUUUGGUCAAAUUCUUCCAACAACUCUUGGGCGAUUUCAUAUAGACUUAAAAUGGAAUCACUUUGGCACUUAAAAUCACCAAUCAAUUGGUAAAUGACCAAUUGAGAAUCGCCUCUAACGAUCACAUUCUUUACUUCCAUAUCUAUCAUUAAUUCUAGGCCCACGAUUAAGGCUUCAUAUUCGGCUUGAUUGUUGGUGCACAUUCUAUCCAAAGUGAACGCGAACUUGUAGCAAAUCCCUAAAGGAUUUAUCAAUGCUACUCCUAUUCCUGCACCUUUAGAGGUUUUUGACCCAUUGAAAUACAAAACCCAAGGUUUUAAUUCGAAUGAAUUGAUUUCUAAUUCAAUUUCUUCAGGCAUGGAUGAUCGAUCAGAAAGUUAGCCAAAGCCUGAUUUUUUAUUGUCUUUUGGGGUAUGUAUUGUAUUUCGAAUUCUGAUAAUGCUAACGUCCAAAGGCCUAUCCUUUGGUGUAAAAUAGAGCGAGAGAACAUAUACUUAACCAAAUUUACUUUGAAAAUCAAAUAAACGGUUACGGGCCGUAAAUAAGCCCUUAAUUUUGUACAUGUGAAAUACAAUGCAAGACAUAAUUUUUCAAUGGCAGAGUAAUUACAUUCAUAUUUUGUUAACCGUCUACUCAAGUAGUAAAUCGCCCUUUCUUCACCAAAUUGGUCUUCUUGCGCGACCAUUUCAGCUAUUGAUUCGUUUUCAGUCGAUACAUACGCUUUCAUUGGCCGUCCUUGGAUUGGUGAGACCAACACUGGUGGACUUGAUAAAUAUAUCUUUAGGCUUUCGAAAGCCUUUUGAUGCUCUUCUUUCCAGACGAAUUCGUCCUGAUUUUUCAACUUUAAAAGCAGCAAAAAAGCUUUAGUUCGCCCUGCACAGUUAGAAAUAAAGCGUCUGAAAAAGUUUACUUGGCCUAAAAAUCUUUGCAAUUCUUUUUUGUUGCUAGGUGGUUUGGCCUCUAAAAUGGCCUUCACUUUAUUUUUAUCAAGUUCAAUUCCCCUUUUGUGUACUAAGAAACCAAGGAAGUUUCCUGCAUUAACACCAAAUGCACAUUUCAAGGGAUUCAAUUUUAGUUUAUAUUACUUUAUUCGUUCAAAUGAACAUCUCAAUUGUUCAAAAUGCUCAUCUUCUUUAAUGGAUUUGACCACUAUAUCAUCUACAUACACUUCAACAAACUUGCCUAUCAUAUCAUGAAAAAUCAGGUUCAUCGCCCUUUGAUAAGUUGCUCCUGUAGGAAAGGCAUAACUACCCAUUCAAAACAUCCUAGAGACCCAGGGCAUCUAAAGGCAGUUUUGUGUAUAUCUUCCUCAGCUAUAUAAAUUUGAUUGUAUCCUGAAUACCCAUCCAUGAAGGAAUACAUUACGUGUCCGACAGUUGAGUCUACUAAAGAGUCUACUGUGGGCAUUGGAUGUUCAUCUUUGGGUGUGGCUAUGUUUAAAUUCCUAAAAUCUAUACACACCCUUAAUCCACCAUUCUUUUUUAGCACUGACACGAUAUUGGACAACCAAUUCACAUAUCUGGCUGUUCUAAUAAAGCCUGCUUUUAAUAAUCGCUCUAUUUCUUUUUUAAUCUUAGGAAGUACAUUAGGAGCAAAACGCCUAGGAGUUUGCUUAUGAGGCUUAAAAUUUAGCUUGGUUGGCAACCUAUGUUCCACCAAAUCUCUAUCUAAACCAGGCAUAUGUUCAUAUUCCCAAGCAAAACAAUCUUUAUAUUCCUAUAAUAAAGCGAUUAAUUUAUCACUAACCUCUUGAUCGAGCAUUUGGUUGAUGAAUAUUGGGCGAUCUUCUCUUUCAUUGCCAAUAUUCACUUUAAUCAGAGGGUCUUAUGUUUGAGUGUAUCCAGGCUUGGCGAUCCUUAUCAUUUCAUCGUCCAAUUCCUUUGUAGGCACUUCUUCUUCUAAACAAUCCACCUUGUUGACUUCUCGGCCAAUACUUUGUUCCAACUCGAACACUGCCAAUUUAUCUCUCAUUGCUUUCAAGGCUGCUUCUUCUUUCGUCUUGUCCUUGCAUUCUUUAUUGAAAGCCAUUAAUUUGGUUUUGAAGGCCUGAAUAUCGGCCAUUUGCCUUUGUUGCUUACAACAUUUAAAAUUCCUUGAUUACUCUUUUGCCAAUUACUAGCUCUUCUAGGGCCACUAUGUUUGGCCUCAUCUGACUGAACAUUUUAGUGAGUGCAUCCACCGAAAACGGCUCUUCACUCUUCGCGACAAUUUGAGUUUCUUCUCCAUCUUGGACUACUCUGACAGGUCCAUAAUUUCCUUCGUACAUGAACCUUUCUACUGAGUUUGCUUCUGCGACAAAAGGUCUAUGAUCGACCUGCACCACUUCUGCUUCGCCUUUGUCAUUCCGAAAAACCAGGCAUUGAUGGAGCGAUGAGGGUAUACAGUGACUUCCGUGUAUCCAAUCCCUUCCUAAUAACACAUUGUAACUAGUAGGACCAUCUAUUACAAAGAAGACUGUGGUCCUAGUAGUUGUCCCUAUAGUUAUGUCCAAUGGCAUAACCCCUUUAGCUGAAGUUGUUCCUCCAUUGAAACUUGUAAGGACGACUUUUGUUGGGAUCUUAUUGUUUUCUGUCUUUGCAAAUUUCCUCAUCAUCUUAGAUGAAAUGGUGUCUAUAGCUGUUCCAUUGUCGACAAGCACUUUUGCCACAGGUAUGCCGUUAACUAGAGCUUUAACGUACAAUGGCCUCAAGUGUUUAGUUAACUUCAUGGCUGGCUGCUUAAAAUAACCUUUUCGACAAUAUCUAUUUCUACUUCCUGCUUGUCCUCUGUCGAAUUAUCCUUUUGUGAUAAGUCAAUGUGUAGCAUGUCGUACUGAGCUUUCGUUUCCUUUUACUGUUUUCUAAUGCUUCUUCUUCAGUUACCCAACCUGUGGGAGGAGGCAUUAUUCUUGGAGGUGAUCCAUAUUUUUCAGAGCGAGGAACUCUCUUUUUCCUUUUGGGCGUCCCGUACAGCACGUAAUAAUCGAAAGAACGCCCAAACGGCUCCCUCAACAAGUCCACUUCACGAACCCCCUCUCAAUGUAGUUGCUUCAACAAAAUAUUGUACGAUACUCCUCUUUUUCUUCUUUCUGCUUCCAAAUCAAUUUCCUUUUCGAUAUCCGUCAUACCAUCAUCUUCUUCAUCAUCGUAGGCCCCUCUAGAAGUUUGGCCUUCUUCAUAUUCCAGCACGCAUGCUUCUUCUUCAUUAUCCUCUCUCUCAUCUUCUUCUUUCUCUUUAUUCUUGAACUCAUUGGCUAGCAAAUAAUUAUUAGCCAUGACAGGAGGUAACGUACCGAACUGAAUAGUAAUGGACUGAUUUGAAUCUUCUCCAUCUCUUCUGUCUCACUCAAACUUCGACCUCCCAGAAGAACUUUCUGGCAAUUCUUUCAUCGAUUCAUCUGUAUCGGUCUCCACACUGUCUUCGAGAAUAUUUUGAUUGGCCACCUCGAGCAGCUUAGGCGCCUUAGGACGUGGCAUUCCCUGUUGUUGCCUCAUCAUUCGUCCAUAGUUCCAUUGAAAACGUCUUUGCUGGGUUCUAGUCAUCUCGUUGAAGGAUAUCGCCCUUCUUGCAUUAUACUGGAAUGAAUGCCAUACAUUUGGUUGAUGAGGCUACAGCCUGAAUGUUCUCCCAUUAUUCACUGGCCUGAACUGCCUCUCAAAAGGCGGUCCCCUAUAGAACGACGUACCUCACCCUUUACCGGGCUGAGCGUGUGGAAAAAAAUUAGGGCGACGGUGAUGCUGCCAUAUCCCUGGUUUCUCUGUAUUCCCACUCACUUUUCUUUUACAUCUUGCACGCAGGACGUCUUCAUCCUUUUCAGGCUCUUUCCCUUUGAUACAUUCAAAGACACUGGGAUGUGGUCCAGGGUCCUCUUCUCCGUCAUCUAUAACUAACUUGAAUUUUGGCAACUUAUUUUUAAAAUCAGUCGUCACCAUGUUCACCCCAAGUGGCUGUGGAAAAGGAUUUUCAUUCACUGUCAUCUUCCUCUUAUCCUCGAACGUAAUUCGUCCUGAUUCAAUGGCAUCCUGUAACACAUGGCCAAAAACCAAACAGUUAUUAGUCAAAUGUAACCAUGCAUUAUGCCACAUACAAUAUUUUUUACCCUUAACUUGUUCAGGGCUUGACAAUUUAUUAUCGCUCAACUUUAUCUGCUUAUCCUUAUAUAGUUUAUCAAAUAUAAGGUCAGCUUUGGUUACAUCGAACGAGAACGUUCUAACCUUUUUAUUUUCAUCUUUUAAAGGCUCAUCCUUGCCCGACGGUCUAGGCUUAGCCAUUAUAGGACAAGUAUACGUGUCUCCUUUGAUUAGUUCGGCCAAACACAUUUCGGUUUGAUCGUAAUACUCGUCAUUAAUGGUAUGAACAUCAAAAUUUGGGUCUCUAUAAUAAGUCCCUUUACUAGAAUUUUUCAUUUGCUCUUCUUCUCUUAUUAAUCGUUCAUACCUAAUCAUGUUCGCGCUCAAUUGGAAAAGAUCAAGAAAUUCCUUGUCUUGGAACUUCUUUUUCAAAUCAAAGCUUGGACAAUUUUGAGCGAUUUUGACAAACUCCUUUUCGGGCAAAGGUACAAAACAUUUACUUAUCGCUGUCUUGAACCUUUGAAGGAAACCUUCUGCCCAUUCGUUUGGCAUUUGAUGUAGAUUCAUCAAAUCGACCAAAGUAACUUCUGACUCAGUCUUACAAAACUGAGCAUGGAACAAUUGCUCCAAUUGUUGUCAUGUUUGAACAGAGUUCGCUGGCAAAUUGAUGAACCAGAAGAAAGCUACUCCUGUUAAUGAACUAGGGAACAACCUCAUUUUAUGGUAAUCAGUUACGUCACCACUUUGCAGUGUGAAUCCCCCUAUGUGUUCUAGAGUAGACACCUCUCCUAAAUCAGUAAAUAGUGAGAAUUCUGGCACUUUAUACCCUCUACGCCAUGGAUAUACUUGGUCUACCCAAUCAGGGUAUGGCUUUGUGUAAGUCGGCCUAAUGACAGGACGUACCCCAAAAGCCAUCUGAUCUUGUACUAUUUCCAUAAUUUGAUUCCUCAACAUAACGUUGGGGUCGUGGAAUUCCUACAGGUUGGUUAACCGGUUGAUUUCCUUGAGGCCUGAUAUUUGGUCCUUGGUUGGCAACAAAGUUGCCAUGAUUUGGGCCAUUGUUACUAUUAGCAUGAAUAUUUACUCUAUCAUUAAUACGUGGGACAUUCUGUCCAUUAUUUAGGAUAUUGUCUCUUACGUUUAAGUUACCCCCCAAGUUAGAUGUACCAUUGCCACCAUUCUGAUUUGGCAUUACACCAUCCCCCUGAUUUGAAGUAGAGGGACCAAAAGGUGAUUCUACCCCUUGAUUUGGACUUAGGAUUGGGGAAUUAUGUCCCACAAUUGUCCUAGUUUGGAAGUGAUUUGUAAGAGGCACGACUGGUUGACAAAUUUGGCCUACUAACUUAUUCAUUAUAUCAUUCAAAGUAUUCAGUUGUUUGGCCAUGUUAUCAUAAUGUGCAUUCCCAUUCUGAGUAAGUCUUUCCAUAUUAUGAAUAUUUCAUAGAUGAACCUGUUCAACGACAUCCUGUGUGAGUUCUCAAAGUAAUGCACGCAUAGUUCGAGAACUCAACUCUGUCAUUGGUUCAUAAUGACUAUGACUGCUCUGAUUCUGUCCAUCUGUUCGUGGAGAGCUAUGCUACACCUCAUAUCGUUUGAUCACAGACUGGAUUCCUCCCUGACUUGCUUCCUUAUCAAAUUUCUGAGGCAUAUUGUUUCACCUUUUGUAUCUCCAACACCAAACACCAAGGUCCCACUGGGCGUGCUAAAUUGUUUCGCGCGGGUAGUCGCUAACAAUUAAAAAGGGAUCAGACGAUUGUGUAAGGAACAAACCUCUUGAGAUAAAGUCCCAAAAGGGGUAUUUUAUUAGCGAUGACAUUACAAUUGGAACUAAACAGAAUGCCUCUAAGGGGCACAAGCAUAUGAGUACUGAAAAGAAAUAUUUAAGUCUAAACUAAGAAAUUGAAAUUACAUAUUCUCUGUUUGAGAGUGUUUGAUUCGGGGUUUUUUGUUCUAUGUCUUCUCUUUCUUUUAUAUUCCCUUGAUGAUUUCUUCAUGAUUAACCACUUAGAAACUGCUUGAUUGCUUUAUAACUACCCACUUUCUUUAUGGUGGCUAACUUGUCGUGGAACUCUCGACUCUAACUGUUGCCACUACUCUUUGUCGUUCAACUGUCUUCAACUGAACUCCUUGAAUCGUGGAACGUGAUAAGGUUGCUCGAUAACUGCUUUAAUAACUGCACUUCUGGAUAACCAUAACAUCUUAUGUUUGCUAAGAUUCUGGGCGAUUCGAAGGCUUGGGUGAGAAUAGGGUCAUAGCUCUGGGCGACUGUAAGGCACUUCAUUCACUCAGAUUUUGGGCGUCUUGCAAGCUUGGGUGAUGAUAUUACUGUAUUCGUGGGCUUCCACUACAUUCAUUAAUAACCCUAUUUGGGCCUUUAUCCUGAAUUGUCCAGUUGGGUUUCAUUUUUUGGGCUAUUUGAUUUGGGGAUUCCUCAAUUGGGCUUCAUUCCCUGGACUAUUCGAUUUGGGCUGCACCUUUAGUGUGUCAACAACAUCAUAUGGAGUGAAGACGAUGAAAGAGAAUCAAAUUCAGAUGAGGACAGAACUGAUAAUAAUUGGGUAACCCCUUUUACCGUCAACCUACAGUCUGAUUUUGACUCUUUAUAAAUGUCGCCUAUAGGUACAGACUCAUUGGUUAGAGACAUAGCAGGACCAAGUAGCACAUGUUCAGAGUGCACUGGCCUGAAAGAAAAUCAGUAUUGAACAAGAAAAGAAUAUCACUCAUCAUGCAAUGAUGGAGUUCAUUAAAGAAGAGAGGGUUGCAGUUGGUGUUAAAAAGGAAACUCUAACCAAACUCUUAAAAGAGAAGGAUAAUCAAGUCAUCGGGCUCCUUAUUGAACUAAAUCACACCAAGGAAAUAGUUAACCAACUAUCAUCGGAUCCACUCACCUAUGUGAAGUCCUUAGCUAUGGAAAAACAUCGAGUAUCAAAGAGAGGUAGGCUAUGAAGGAAAAAACGAAAGAAAAAUGAAUCUAAUCAGUUAAAGUUUGUCAAAACUACCUAUGUGGUAGCUUGACAAGUUAGAUUUUUGAUAGAAUAUUACAAGUUGCAGCUAAUGAGUUAGACAAAACUAUUGACGCAAAGUUGUAGCAGAAUCUAACUUACAUAAGUAGGUUCUAACCAACUCCAAAACCUUGAUUCAAAAUAAUCCAUCAAGUAAACUGAUGCGAACCCCGCAGCAAUGAAAACUACAAAACCCACAACAAGAUUGAUGCGGAACCCAAGAACGCCAAUACUAACCCGGUUUUAGAUCUUGAACCCCAAGAAUUGAACCAAGAAACCCUAAAUUAGCGAAGAACCUAAAACCCCUUGAUUACAAUUAAAAGAACCCACAAUCCGAUUGUUUAGAACGCCACAAGAAAUUGAAUCUUAAUAAGUUCCAAAAUUGUUCAAGAAGAAUAAGAAAUUGAAAGAACAAAUUCUCUCUCUAUAAUAUUAUUCAAGCAAAAGGUCAAAAGUCUUUACAAUGAAAAGUAUUAUCCUAUUUAUACUAAUGAGUAAAACGUCCAAAAUCUAUCAAAUUAUGGUAAUAAUUUGAUUUUAUAAGAAUUCUAUCGAAACUAGAAAAUUCGGCCAAAAUUGGAAACUUCGCCAAUUUUUUUGGCUUGUGCGGCCGCAUGGUGUAUUUCCAUGCGAUCGCAUGGUUCAACAAGAAAUGCAAUUUUUAUUUUCGGUAUGCCACCAUGUGACCGCAUGGUGUUUUGCCUGUGCGGCCGCACAGGCUUGUUUUCAGCCUCCGAUUUCGUCGCUUGAUAACAAAUUGAUCCAAAUUGAUUCGAUCUUCGACCCGAACAUGAGAGUUGCUCCAUUUUGAGUCCCGAGCAUGGUUCCAUCAAUGGUUUCUUGAACGAGCAAUCUCAUCUCUUGUUUCACUUGCUUUGCCCUUGAUCGCGUCAUUAGUCCGCCAUCGACUAUCAACGGGUCUCGUCUCGCACUUGCCUUCGUCNNNNNNNNNNNNNNNNNNNNNNNNNNNNNNNNNNNNNNNNNNNNNNNNNNNNNNNNNNNNNNNNNNNNNNNNNNNNNNNNNNNNNNNNNNNNNNNNNNNNNNNNNNNNNNNNNNNNNNNNNNNNNNNNNNNNNNNNNNNNNNNNNNNNNNNNNNNNNNNNNNNNNNNNNNNNNNNNNNNNNNNNNNNNNNNNNNNNNNNNNNNNNNNNNNNNNNNNNNNNNNNNNNNNNNNNNNNNNNNNNNNNNNNNNNNNNNNNNNNNNNNNNNNNNNNNNNNNNNNNNNNNNNNNNNNNNNNNNNNNNNNNNNNNNNNNNNNNNNNNNNNNNNNNNNNNNNNNNNNNNNNNNNNNNNNNNNNNNNNNNNNNNNNNNNNNNNNNNNNNNNNNNNNNNNNNNNNNNNNNNNNNNNNNNNNNNNNNNNNNNNNNNNNNNNNNNNNNNNNNNNNNNNNNNNNNNNNNNNNNNNNNNNNNNNNNNNNNNNNNNNNNNNNNNNNNNNNNNNNNNNNNNNNNNNNNNNNNNNNNNNNNNNNNNNNNNNNNNNNNNNNNNNNNNNNNNNNNNNNNNNNNNNNNNNNNNNNNNNNNNNNNNNNNNNNNNNNNNNNNNNNNNNNNNNNNNNNNNNNNNNNNNNNNNNNNNNNNNNNNNNNNNNNNNNNNNNNNNNNNNNNNNNNNNNNNNNNNNNNNNNNNNNNNNNNNNNNNNNNNNNNNNNNNNNNNNNNNNNNNNNNNNNNNNNNNNNNNNNNNNNNNNNNNNNNNNNNNNNNNNNNNNNNNNNNNNNNNNNNNNNNNNNNNNNNNNNNNNNNNNNNNNNNNNNNNNNNNNNNNNNNNNNNNNNNNNNNNNNNNNNNNNNNNNNNNNNNNNNNNNNNNNNNNNNNNNNNNNNNNNNNNNNNNNNNNNNNNNNNNNNNNNNNNNNNNNNNNNNNNNNNNNNNNNNNNNNNNNNNNNNNNNNNNNNNNNNNNNNNNNNNNNNNNNNNNNNNNNNNNNNNNNNNNNNNNNNNNNNNNNNNNNNNNNNNNNNNNNNNNNNNNNNNNNNNNNNNNNNNNNNNNNNNNNNNNNNNNNNNNNNNNNNNNNNNNNNNNNNNNNNNNNNNNNNNNUUAGAAGUCUUUGACUUGAGAAAAUACUGUUUCAAAUAUGUUAAACCUAAGAUAUUGACGUUUAAAAAAAUUGUUAUCUGAUAAUAUUUACUCAAUUGGAGAUGGCCACGUGUGUUUUGGAUUGGUACAAUCAAAAUUCUUUUAUAACUAGAAAAUAGAUACAAUCCCAAUAUCAUUAGGUAGAUACUGUAAAAUUAGUUAGUUUUGUAGCAGGAUAGGACACGUACAAAGCCAAAUCAUUGCCCACUUUCAAUAGAAAACUCAUUUUAUCCAAUUUUUAUUCUAUAAAGUACAACCUAUUCUUACCUAAAGUCUACUUUGAUACCAAUUUUAAUUCAAUUUCUAGCCAUGCAUGGUUCCCUACUACACACAACUCUAUAUAGGCUAAGCAAUGGUUAUCUAGCCCCCGUUUCAGCCCCUUUAAUUAUCAUUACAUUACAUUUCAUUUUUCUCUCUUCUAUUUUUAACUUCACAAUCUUCUAUAAAAUAAUAUUAUACGUAAAUCGACAAUUUUUCCUUCUUUUUCAACCACUCAUUUUUAAAAAAAAAAAACUAUUCCACUCAUUAAUUUUUCCAUGUAAUGGGGGCCAAAUAGAGGCAUAGCCAAAAUUUAUUAUAGGACAUGAUGGUAGAACUUUUGCACCCAAAAUUUAUUAUAUGCAUACACGGUAACAGAGAGAGUUCAAGCACAGAGAAAGAAGCAUAAAGAAGAGUUUCACAAGUAUUAUUUUUACCUUUUUUUUUUUUUUUUUACAACCUUCUAAUAAACGAGGUAAGAUACUUUUAUGCUAGUGUUUUGUUUCCGUAUACAUUUAUAUAUUCAAUUAAAUAUGAGUAAAUUGUCAAUAGAUCUUCGGGUUCUUGAUAAAGAGAGAUGAAAUUCUUUAGGAAUUUAAGAGGAUCUAAGAUUGAUAUGUUGUUUGGUCACCAAUAUACUCAAUAAAAGAAGAGUAGUAUGAAGUGUUUAUUUAUUGUUAUAUAAUUGUGUAUGAAACUGCACACAUCUUAGUGAGUAUUAUUAAAUAUUCACUCUUACAAUAGUGUUACAAGUUAGUGCAGAUCGAUUGAAUCUGUAGCAGAAUGGUGAUGCGGG
This 27023-nucleotide long non-coding RNA is filed under the name Olea europaea (common olive). RNAcentral's name for it is "long non-coding RNA (OEUR_LNC007115)". The record is from RNAcentral. Lineage: Eukaryota; Viridiplantae; Streptophyta; Magnoliopsida; Lamiales; Oleaceae.